RNAcentral lists this ribosomal RNA (253 nucleotides) under uncultured bacterium. Its description in RNAcentral is "partial 16S ribosomal RNA". It matches the Rfam family "Bacterial small subunit ribosomal RNA", at positions 524 to 776 of the family's 1533-position model. The record is from RNAcentral.
UACGAAGGGUGCAAGCGUUACUCGGAAUUACUUGGCGUAAAGCGUGCGUAGGUGGUUCGUUAAGUCUGAUGUGAAAGCCCUGGGCUCAACCUGGGAAUGGCAUUGGAAACUGGCGACCUAGAGUGCGGUAGAGGGUAGUGGAAUUCCCGGUGUAGCAGUGAAAUGCGUAGAGAUCGGGAGGAACAUCUGUGGCGAAGGCGACUGCCUGGACCAGCACUGACACUGAGGCACGAAAGCGUGGGGAGCAAACAGG